AUUGAACGCUGGCGGCAGGCCUAACACAUGCAAGUCGAGCGGAUGAAGGGAGCUUGCUCCUGGAUUCAGCGGCGGACGGGUGAGUAAUGCCUAGGAAUCUGCCUGGUAGUGGGGGAUAACGUCCGGAAACGGGCGCUAAUACCGCAUACGUCCUGAGGGAGAAAGUGGGGGAUCUUCGGACCUCACGCUAUCAGAUGAGCCUAGGUCGGAUUAGCUAGUUGGUGGGGUAAAGGCCUACCAAGGCGACGAUCCGUAACUGGUCUGAGAGGAUGAUCAGUCACACUGGAACUGAGACACGGUCCAGACUCCUACGGGAGGCAGCAGUGGGGAAUAUUGGAAAAUGGGCGAAAGCCUGAUCCAGCCAUGCCGCGGGGGUGAAGAAGGUCUGCGGAUUGUAAAGCACUUUAAGUUGGGAGGAAGGGCAGUAAGUUAAUACCUUGCUGUUUGGACGUGACCAACAGAAUAAGCACCGGCAAACUUCGU
RNAcentral lists this ribosomal RNA (483 nucleotides) under uncultured bacterium. Its description in RNAcentral is "partial 16S ribosomal RNA". It matches the Rfam family "Bacterial small subunit ribosomal RNA", at positions 30 to 506 of the family's 1533-position model. The record is from RNAcentral.